AGCUCAGAGCCCAAGGAAGGCACUUUCCUGAAGGAUCCCACCCAGGAACAGAAGCAGGAACCACAUUUGGCCCAGGAGAGCUGAGGUUGUCCCACAGAAAUGUCCAAGAUGGAGCUCAGAGCCUGGGGAGGCACUUUCCUGAAGGAUCCCACCCAGGAAGAGAAGCAGGAACCACAUUUGGCCCAGGAGAGCUGAGGUUGUCCCACAGAAAUGUCCAAGAUGGAGCUCAGAGCCUGGGGAGGCACUUUCCUGAAGGAUCCCACCCAGGAGCAGAAGCAGGAACCACAUUUGGCCCAGGAGAGCUGAGGUUGUCCCACAGAAAUGUCCAAGAUGGAGCUCAGAGCCUGGGGAAGGCACUUUCCUGUAAGAUCCCAUCCAGGAACAGAAGCAGGAACCACAUUUGGCCUGGGAGAGCUGAGGUUGUCCCACAGAAAUGUCCAAGGAACUCAAUAAAAUGUGGGUAAUGUGGAGUCGCCGCUGAGGUGGAGUCACGGUGAGGAGGAGGAAAUGAAUGGAAUCACCAG
Vidua chalybeata is the source of this 524-nucleotide long non-coding RNA. RefSeq lists it as uncharacterized. The transcript is spliced from 5 exons. Lineage: Eukaryota; Metazoa; Chordata; Aves; Passeriformes; Viduidae. The record is from RefSeq and is a predicted model, not a curated record.